This 227-nucleotide long non-coding RNA is filed under the name Olea europaea (common olive). RNAcentral's name for it is "long non-coding RNA (OEUR_LNC015317)". Lineage: Eukaryota; Viridiplantae; Streptophyta; Magnoliopsida; Lamiales; Oleaceae. The record is from RNAcentral.
AUAAGUAUUGAUAGAACUUGAAGACUCCUCAGUUGAUGCUUGACUACUUCCAUGAAUACCUUCAUGACUCACAUACCACUCAUAAAUAGCCAUCAAAUUGGCUUUCAAAGACUUCAUCAUGUUACUAACAACUUCCCAAUCCAUAUAUAGAUCAUUCAAACAAUAUUCAACAUAAUCCAUUUUGUAUCUUGGAUCAAGAAUAGUAGCAAAAAGCAAUAAUUGAUUCA